RNAcentral lists this ribosomal RNA (781 nucleotides) under uncultured bacterium. RNAcentral describes it as "bacterial SSU rRNA". It matches the Rfam family "Bacterial small subunit ribosomal RNA", at positions 712 to 1504 of the family's 1533-position model. The record is from RNAcentral.
AUUGCGAAGGCAGCUUUCUGGAUCAUUACUGACACUGAGGAACGAAAGCAUGGGUAGCGAAGAGGAUUAGAUACCCUCGUAGUCCAUGCCGUAAACGAUGUGUGUUAGACGUUGGAAAUUUAUUUUCAGUGUCGCAGGGAAACCGAUAAACACACCGCCUGGGGAGUACGACCGCAAGGUUAAAACUCAAAUGAAUUGACGGGGACCCGCACAAGUAGUGGAGCAUGUGGUUUAAUUCGAAGAUACGCGCAGAACCUUACCAACACUUGACAUGUUCGUCGCGACUCUAAGAGAUUAGAGUUUUCGGUUCGGCCGGACGAAACACAGGUGCUGCAUGGCUGUCGUCAGCUCGUGUCGUGAGAUGUUAGGUUAAGUCCCGCAACGAGCGCAACCCUCACUUUUAGUUGCCAUCAUUAAGUUGGGCACUCUGAAAGAACUGCCAGUGAUAAGCUGGAGGAAGGUGGGGAUGACGUCAAGUCCUCAUGGCCCUUACGUGUUGGGCUACACACGUGCUACAAUGGCAUCUACAACAGGAAGCAAAACGGCAACGUUAAGCAAAUCCCGAAAAGAUGCCUCAGUUCGGAUUGCACUCUGCAACUCGAGUGCAUGAAGCUGGAAUUACUAGUAAUCGUGGAUCAGCGUGCCACGGUGAAUGCGUUCCCGGGUCUUGUACACACCGCCCGUCACACCAUGGGAGUUGGUUCUACCUUAAGGCAAGGUUUCAAACCCUUGACCACGGUAUAGUCAGCGACUGGGGUGAAGUCGUAACAAGGUAACCGUA